GAUGAACGCUAGCGGCAGGCCUAAUACAUGCAAGUCGUACGGCAACACAGUUGCGAGCAAUCGCAACCGGUGGCGAGUGGCGCACGGGUGAGUAACGCGUAUGUAACCUACCCUUCUCCGGGACAUAACUCCGCGAAAGCGGUGCUAAUAUCCCAUACCAACUCAUCAAGACAUCUUCUUGAGUUGAAAGCAGCAAUGCGGUGAAGGAUGGGCAUGCGUCCCAUUAGCUGGUUGGUGAGGUAAUGGCCCACCAAGGCUACGAUGGGUAGGGGUUCUGGGAGGAAAGCCCCCCACACUGGUACUGAGACACGGACCAGACUCCUACGGGAGGCAGCAGUAAGGAAUAUUGGGCAAUGGUCGAAAGACUGACCCAGCCAUGCCGCGUGCAGGAUGAAGGCCCUAUGGGUUGUAAACUGCUUUUAGCCGGGAAUAAACACCCGUUUUAUAACGGGCCCGAAGGUACCGGCUGAAUAAGCAUCGGCUAACUCCGUGCCAGCAGCCG
This 502-nucleotide ribosomal RNA is filed under the name uncultured bacterium. RNAcentral describes it as "bacterial SSU rRNA". It matches the Rfam family "Bacterial small subunit ribosomal RNA", at positions 28 to 517 of the family's 1533-position model. The record is from RNAcentral.